RNAcentral lists this ribosomal RNA (773 nucleotides) under uncultured bacterium. Its description in RNAcentral is "bacterial SSU rRNA". It matches the Rfam family "Bacterial small subunit ribosomal RNA", at positions 8 to 796 of the family's 1533-position model. The record is from RNAcentral.
AGAGUUUGAUCAUGGCUCAGAAUGAACGUUGGCGGCGUGGAUUAGGCAUGCAAGUCGAGCGAGAACCGUAGCAAUACGGGGACAGCGGCGAAAGGGACAGUAAUGUGCAGGUACCUACCUCGAGGACCGGGAUAGCUGCGGGAAACUGCAGGUAAUACCGGAUAACAUCUCCGGAUCAAAGGUGUGAUUCCGCCUGGAGAGGGGCCUACAUCCUAUUAGCUUGUUGGCAGGGUAAUGGCCUACCAAGGCAAUGAUGGGUAGCGGGUGUGAGAGCACGACCCGCGUCACUGGGACUGAGACACUGCCCAGACACCUACGGGUGGCUGCAGUCGAGGAUCUUCGGCAAUGGGCGCAAGCCUGACCGAGCGACGCCGCGUGCGGGAUGAAGGCCUUCGGGUUGUAAACCGCUGUCAGUGGGGGAGGAAAGGCUCCGUGAAGAGCGGGGUUUGACCUAUCCGCAGAGGAAGCAAGGGCUAAGUUCGUGCCAGCAGCCGCGGUAAGACGAACCUUGCAAACGUUAUUCGGAAUUACUGGGCUUAAAGGGUGCGUAGGCGGUGCAGAAAGUCAGGUGUGAAAUACCUCAGCUUAACUGAGGAAUUGCGCCCGAAACUACUGUGCUAGAGGAAGACAGAGGUAAGCGGAACUUAGGGUGGAGCGGUGAAAUGCGUUGAUAUCCUAAGGAACACCGGUGGCGAAAGCGGCUUACUGGGUCUUAUCUGACGCUGAGGCACGAAAGCUAGGGUAGCGAACGGGAUUAGAUACCCUAGUAGUCC